This 26-nucleotide non-coding RNA is filed under the name Homo sapiens (human). Lineage: Eukaryota; Metazoa; Chordata; Mammalia; Primates; Hominidae. The record is from RNAcentral.
UGGUAUGAGGUGACUGAGGUGAUAUU